GAUGAACGCUGGCGGCGUGCCUAAUACAUGCAAGUCGAGCGAACGGACGAGAAGCUUGCUUCUCUGAUGUUAGCGGCGGGCGGGUGAGUAACACGUGGAUAACCUACCUAUAAGACUGGGAUAACUUCGGGAAACCGGAGCUAAUACCGGAUAAUAUUUUGAACCGCAUGGUUCAAUAGUGAAAGACGGUCUUGCUGUCACUUAUAGAUGGAUCCGCGCUGCAUUAGCUAGUUGGUAAGGUAACGGCUUACCAAGGCAACGAGGCAUAGCCGACCUGAGAGGGUGAUCGGCCACACUGGAACUGAGACACGGUCCAGACUCCUACGGGAGGCAGCAGUAGGGAAUGUUACGCAAUAGGCGAAAGCAUGACGGAGCAGCGCCGCGUGAGUGAUGAAGGUCUUCGGAUCGUAAAGCUCUGUUAUUAGGGAAGAACAGAUGUGUAAGUAACUGUGCACAUCUUGACGGUACCUAAUCAGAAAGCCACGGCUAACUACGUG
This 497-nucleotide ribosomal RNA is filed under the name uncultured bacterium. Its description in RNAcentral is "partial 16S ribosomal RNA". It matches the Rfam family "Bacterial small subunit ribosomal RNA", at positions 28 to 507 of the family's 1533-position model. The record is from RNAcentral.